RNAcentral lists this non-coding RNA (28 nucleotides) under Bombyx mori (domestic silkworm). The record is from RNAcentral. Lineage: Eukaryota; Metazoa; Arthropoda; Insecta; Lepidoptera; Bombycidae.
UACCUAAAUUUUGCGACAUGCCCAGGUA